AUUGAACGCUGGCGGCAGGCCUAACACAUGCAAGUCGAGCGGAUGAAGGGAGCUUGCUCCUGGAUUCAGCGGCGGACGGGUGAGUAAUGCCUAGGAAUCUGCCUGGUAGUGGGGGAUAACGUCCGGAAACGGGCGCUAAUACCGCAUACGUCCUGAGGGAGAAAGUGGGGGAUCUUCGGACCUCACGCUAUCAGAUGAGCCUAGGUCGGAUUAGCUAGUUGGUGGGGUAAAGGCCUACCAAGGCGACGAUCCGUAACUGGUCUGAGAGGAUGAUCAGUCACACUGGAACUGAGACACGGUCCAGACUCCUACGGGAGGCAGCAGGGGGAAAUUUUGGAAAAUGGGCGAAAGCCUGUUCCAGCCAUGCCGGGGUGGUGAAGAAGGUCUUCGGAUUGUAAAGCCCUUUAAGUUGGGGGGAAGGGAAGUAAGUUAAUCCCUGGCUGUUUUGACGUUACCAACAAAAUAAGCCCCGGCUACCUUCGU
RNAcentral lists this ribosomal RNA (483 nucleotides) under uncultured bacterium. RNAcentral's name for it is "partial 16S ribosomal RNA". It matches the Rfam family "Bacterial small subunit ribosomal RNA", at positions 30 to 506 of the family's 1533-position model. The record is from RNAcentral.